CCGUAGCAAUACGGGAGCGGCAGACGGGUGAGUAACGCGUGGGAACAUGCCCUUCGGUUCGGAAUAACCCAGGGAAACUUGGACUAAUACCGAAUACGUCCGUGAGGAGAAAGAUUUAUCGCCGAAGGAUUGGCCCGCGUCGGAUUAGCUAGUUGGUGAGGUAACGGCUCACCAAGGCGAUGAUCCGUAGCUGGUCUGAGAGGAUGACCAGCCACACUGGAACUGAGACACGGUCCAGACUCCUACGGGAGGCAGCAGUAGGGAAUUUUGGGCAAUGGGCGAAAGCCUGACCCAGCAACGCCGCGUGUGGGAUGAAGGCCCUCGGGUCGUAAACCACUGUCAGGAGGAAAGAAAAGUCGGCCGGGUAAUAUUCGGUCGACCUGACGGUACCUCCAAAGGAAGCACCGGCUAACUCCGUGCCAGCAGCCGCGGUAAUACGGAGGGUGCAAGCGUUGUUCGGAAUUACUGGGCGUAAAGCGCGUGUAGGUGGUUGAGUAAGUCGAAUGUGAAAGCCCCGGGCUCAACCCGGGAAGUGCAUCCGAAACUGCUCGACUAGAGUCCCGGAGAGGAAGGCAGAAUUCCCAAUGUAGGGGUGAAAUCCGUAGAUAUUGGGAGGAAUACCGGUGGCGAAGGCGGCCUUCUGGACGGUGACUGACACUCAGACGCGAAAGCGUGGGGAGCAAACAGGAUUAGAUACCCUGGUAGUCCACGCUGUAAACGUUGCGAACU
RNAcentral lists this ribosomal RNA (729 nucleotides) under uncultured Pseudomonadota bacterium. RNAcentral's name for it is "bacterial SSU rRNA". It matches the Rfam family "Bacterial small subunit ribosomal RNA", at positions 74 to 817 of the family's 1533-position model. Lineage: Bacteria; Pseudomonadati; Pseudomonadota. The record is from RNAcentral.